UAAUACGAAGGCUACAAGCGUUAUCCGGAUUUAUUGGGCGUAAAGAGCGAGUAGGUGGUUUGGUGCGUCUGUUGUUAAAUGUCUCCGCUUAACGGGGUCACCGCAAUGGAAACGGCCAAACUAGAGAGUGCUAGAGGCAAAUAGAACGCACGGUGUAGGGGUGAAAUCCGUUGAUAUCGUGCGGAAUACCAAAGGCGAAGGCAUUUUGCUGGGGCAUUUCUGACACUCAAUCGCGAAAGCGUGGGGAGCAAAAAGGAUUAGAUACCCUUGUAGUCCACGCCCUAAACGAUGCACACUAGUUGUUUCGAGU
RNAcentral lists this ribosomal RNA (310 nucleotides) under uncultured bacterium. Its description in RNAcentral is "bacterial SSU rRNA". It matches the Rfam family "Bacterial small subunit ribosomal RNA", at positions 521 to 830 of the family's 1533-position model. The record is from RNAcentral.